This 19418-nucleotide long non-coding RNA is filed under the name Populus tremula. Its description in RNAcentral is "long non-coding RNA (PTRE_LNC001527)". Lineage: Eukaryota; Viridiplantae; Streptophyta; Magnoliopsida; Malpighiales; Salicaceae. The record is from RNAcentral.
AGUAACUCAUCGCAAUAUAUUUAGUAGAUCAGCGAGGCAUUCCAUAUUUUUGAGCAAGUAAAGAACUUUAUUUCCACUUUGGAUUAAUCAAAUUUUAGGUAAUUAAAAGAAAUCUAUCAUUCCCUUUUCUAUAAAGUUGCAACAUGGACAGAAUGUGGAUGUGAAAGUUUUUGCUAGACUAGAAUGUAUUUACUUCAAUCACCUGAUUAGCUUCUUACGUGGACGAAACCCUCUGGUAUUGAUGAAUAUAAAAGAAUUAAAUGUGACUGAGGUUUUGAAAAUUAAAAAAUCUUUUUAAAUGAGUAUUGAUUGUUCCUAUAUAUGCAAUUACUAGAAGCUGGAUUGUGGAGUAUAAUGCCAUUACUAGAAGCUUAUUGGCAUAUGGAAAAAACUAGAGAGUAUUUAUGCUUCUAGACCCAUGACUAAUCGUUUUCUUUUGAAGUUAGAUUUGUACUCUUGAGGAUGGAUGAAGGAAUGGGUAUACACAAGAGUUAAAAGGUUGACAACACAAGUAGUCAAUAUUAGAAAAAACAAAAUUGGGGAAAAAGAGCGAAACCUCAUUCUACAAGCCAUUGGUGCAAACAAUACUAGUUAAAAGGAUAACUUUAGGUUUAAUCUUACUAGAUAGAAUAAAAGGUUUUGAAAGGUAACGAGGCAUUGGUGAUGGAAGGUAAUCUAGGAAAUAAAAUUAUGAUUGUCAUGGGAGGAACAUGGCAUAAAGAGGUAGAUUUGGUAUAAAAAACUCUAUUUGAGAUUCUAGAUCUAGAGUGGAAUACAAUAUUAAUAUUUUUAUUGUCAUUGCAAAAUACUAGUUAAAAGGAUAACUUUAGGUUUAAAUGAUACAACUAUAAUUUUAUUGGAGAAUGAUAGGUUUUGAAAAUAGAAAACAAUGUCAAAAGGUAACGAGGCAUUGGUUAUGGGAGGUGGUCCUGUAAUUUACCAUGAAAGAUGGGAGCAAAGUGUUGAAUAUUAAACUCAAUCCAGAAGCUCCCAGAAGGUCAAGGAAGACAACCAGCCACCAGCCACCAGUCGCCGACCAGCCGCCAGCCGCCUUCACACUUGAAGGUUGAAUUUUCUAGUUUUUGAUUUCGUGUAUAAAUAGAGUGCCUAGCUUCUGUUAAUGUGUGUGGAGAGAAUUGAGAGCAAACACUAGAAAGAGAAAUAGAGAGAGAGAGGGCAUGUACUGUUAAGCUUUUGUUAAUUAAUUGUAAGCUUGUGUUUUUGUAACAAAACUUUGUGUUUUAUCCCCUCUGAGUGUUUCAAAGUCACCACCAGUGGUUUCUCCCAUGCACCAACAAUUAGUAUCAGAGCCCCGUUCGUCAGAAAACAGAAGUGUUUUGGGGUACAUCCGAAUUUUCAAAGUUGUCAAAAACAAGUUUUGAUCAUUCCACAGUGAAGAGCUCAUCAAUACGAACUCACUGUCGCAAGAAUCAGCCUUAUCGGAGUCCGCGGUGAUCCACACGCGCCGCCUGAAGAUCCGGUGACUGUAUCCCAUGCGCAUCCACGCGCGCCAUAUUUGAGCCGCGCCGAGCCCGAGCCGCGCCGCAAGCCGAGCCGUCCUCCGCACCGAGAGAAUAUUCCCCAAAAUAUUCCCCGAAUAUUCCUGGUUCAACCUAGCGAACCGCCCGCCGUACAGAAUUGGUUUUUUGACCGGUUCACCCAUUUUCUGACCCGAAUUCAACAAAGUCAGACCGGUUCCCUGCUAUUUGGAUCAUUCCAGAUCGAUCUACAAUGUCCGUUUGGCCAAAUUCGGCUCCUAGAAAGGUGAUAUAAUCAUUCAAAGAGCAAAAUGACUACAGAAGAUACACAUACACUCAUUCCAAAGCUGACCAAAGACAACUAUGAUAGUUGGUGCAUCAGAUUGAAGGCAUUCCUUGGGUCACAAGAGUGUUUGGAUAUUGUACAAACUGGUUAUGAUGAAUCAGAGUCCAAAGAAAGAGAAGAUGUUUUAUAAGAGGCACAAAAGCAAGCUCUUAAAGUCAACAGAAAGAAAGACAACAAAGCAAAGACCAUCAUCUAUCAGGGUCUUGAUGAAGACACAUUCGAGAUCAUAGCUUCCGCUGAAACAUCACAUGAUAUAUGGAGGCUCUCCAACAGAAAUACAAAGGUGCUGACAGAAUUAAAAAAAUUCGUCUUCAAUCUUUGCGAGGUGAAUUUGAGUUAUUGCAAAUGAAGUCCUCGGAGUCUAUUUCUGAUUAUCGCACAAGGAUUAUGGUGAUAGUCAACCAGAUGAGGAGAAAUGGAGAAGCCAUCGUCGAUUCUCGAAUUACUGAGAAAAUUUUGAGAUCGCUAGAUCCAAAAUUCGAUUUUGUUGUUGUCGCAAUUGAAGAAUCUAAAGAAGUGGACAAGUUGACAGUUGAUGAACUUAUGAGUUCUUUGCAAGCUCAUGAGCAGAAAAUUGUAAAGGGAAAUGGAGAUAAGGCAAUUGAGCAUGCCUUACAAGCAAAGCUGUCUCUCAAGGACAAAUAUGAGCAAGGGGAGACUUCAACAAAUGGAUAUACCACUCAAGCAGGAAGUCAACAAUCCAGAGGAGGAUUCCAGAGAUUCCAAGGAAGAGGUUCUUGGAAUACAAGCUUUAGAGGAAGAGGUGGCAGAAACAUCAUUAGAGGAGAUCGAGGACAACAAGCAUUCAAUCCUAGAGGAAGAGGGGGCGAUUACAAUAACCAUGACAAGAGGAAUAUCCAAUGUUAUAGUUGCAAUCAAUUUGGGCACUAUAGCACUGAAUGCAGAAGGAAAGCUCUAUUGGAGAUACGUGAGCAAGCCAACUAUGCAGAGAAGGAUGACAGAGAAGAAGCUGCAUUUCUUGUCCAACAAGAACAAAAUUAAGAUAAGGAAAUGAAAUAUUAUAGUUUUACAAUAAUAUAAUUGUUUUUUGCAUUAUACUUACCUAAUUACAAUGUGGUUUUCCCACACAUUUCUUACAACCCCCUCAUUUUCCUUGUCCUGGUAAUUUUUUUUCCUUGUAGUCAAACAUUAGUUAUUUUUAAAAAAAUUUUAAAAACUAUAUAUUAACUCAAUGUAUAUAUUAUUUAUUUAACCAUUAACUUUUCCCAAAAACAUCUACUAUAAUCAUACAUUUAGAAUGAUCUUAAAGUUGACUCUAUUAAAACAAUGGUUUUUCAAAAACAAAUUUAAGAUUAAUUGUAUUAAAGAGAAAAACUAUAAAAAAAAAACACAAAAAGUGUACCUAAGAUGUACAUCAUCUUGUAACCCAAAUCAAAUUGACCUUAGACAAUAGGGAAAAAAACAAAAGCUAAAAAAAAUUAAAAAUUUCUGAAAACAAGACUGCUUGAAUAAUAGCAUAGAAAAUCAAUUCAUCAAAAUCAUUUAAUGUAAAACUUAAAAUAAUCUAUUACAAAUAAAUAACUUCAAUGGUAAGAGAAAAAACAUGACUUACAUUGUGUCGUUGGCUUUUUAUGUUGCAAUAAGUUUUCUUGAUACAGGGUCUCUAGAAGAAGGGAUUCUACCUUUUUUGUUUGUGAAAUUCAUUGUUGUAAAUGAGAUCAUUGCAUAAUUAGUUGGCAUCAAAGGACAUAAUAAUCUCUCUCUUUGUAUGAUUAAUAGAAAUGAUACUGUGAAUCUGUAAAUUAUGCCAAAAACGCUUUAUUCUGUUUCUAAAGGACUCGAGGCUAUUGCUCUAAGAGUUGAAGUGCCUAUGUUCAAAAUCAUUUUAAAAUUACCUGCAUUAUUGCAUUUUUGUUCCACUAGAAAUUGUUUCUGAUGUUUUUGACAUCUACAAAUACUGCAAGGUCCUAUCCUGGUACUACUACAUCUGCUUGGUGUGGCCUUGUUAAGUUAACUGGGUAUUUGCAUAAUGUUUCCAGGCUGAUGCUUUUGAAAGCCAGCGUGGACAAUGCAUUGAUAUCACCUGGAAAGUGAUAAUUUAUUUAAAUAAAACAGACUUUACCAAGGUGAUGGAAACAAUGCUAUACUGCCCUGACAAAUAAAUGUAUAAAUGACAUGCGAGAGUUAAACUGGUUUUGCUUACACCAUUGUGCAUAGAACUGCUUAUUUCCUUUUCUGAAGAAUGUUCUUUGUACGCUUAAUUGAACUAGUCUCUUUAAGUGUUCAAUGGUUCUCACCAACCAUUUGUCAAAGAAAUAAAGAAGUCUGUUAAUUUUAUUGGUUUGCCAUUCCAACAGGGGCUGGAUCCCCUUUAAAUUGUGCAUGCAACUUGUUAGCAAACCUCUUAUUUUGGUAGGCAGAGUUUAUCCGUGUUGUGACUUCAGAUAAUAACAAUGACUGAUUUGGUCAAUCUCUCAAAAAGUUUUCUGUAUUCCCGAGAGUAAUAAUCCUAAUCAUCAUUUUAGGUUAGUUGACAGAAUAUCUUUCUUGGUUAUUUCUUAGUUCAUAUGAACCAAACCUGCCUCAUUCCUCCCCUCAUGCGAGGUAGUUAAGUAGUGUAUGAGCCCUAGUACUGGUUUCAAGAUAUGACUUAUCACUGUGUAUAUGUCUGUAGUUAGUUUAGCUGAGAGUUCAAACAAGUGUUUAUGGUGUUAAACGUUUUUCAAUCAUAAAUUGUUUUGCAGAUAUAAUUGAUGAAUUGGUGAAGAAUGGGAAAGAGAUAAGGCUGUAUAUUUUGCUUCUGAAUCUGGUUUGACGAAAAGAUUUUCUCCUGUAUCUCUACUCAAGUCAUAUCUUAAGAAUUCCAAGAAGAUCACAACUACUGUCUUGAAGAAUGGCAAUUAUAGUGUAGCUGCAACGGUGUGUCUAAUCUCUAUCUACAUUGUGUAAUUCUAAUGACAUGAAAUAUUUGAGUCUUAUUAAUUUUUUUGCAGGAUGAGUCAAGUACCUUGGAGUUGAAUUCUAUUAAAGCAAUCAUCAAAUGUGUGGAAGAUCAUAAGCUUGAAUCAGAAUUUUCCCUUGACAGCUUGAGAAAACGGGCUUCUCUGCUUGAAAAAACCAAAGCAGAGAGGAAGAGGGGUACAUCAUCAGCUGCCACUGCUACCAAGUCUCAAAACAAGCGAGGCCAUGGUUCAAGUGGUGGCCGGGACAGUGGACCUACUCCUUAUCGUCAAGCCAAAGCUGCCAAAUUUUCAAACAAUUAUUCCUCUUUCAGCCGCAGGAAUGCUCCUCUCCCUGCACAGCAUAGCCCGGCUAGAAGAUAUUCAGGGCCAUUCCACUACCCUAGCCAGAGUGUCUACGAGGGCCCCGCAGCAGCCCCGUAUGCAUCAACUUAUGGUAUCUCGCACGCUCAAAGCCCUUCUGCAAUCUCUCAACAACCCUACCAUCACUCUCAAAGCCCCAGUGCAAUUCCUCAACAACUCUACUCACAGCCAGCGGAGAACAUGAGUGCUGCCGGUUUCCGUGCCAGUGGUUCUUAUGGAAGCCAGACCGGGUUACGGGGCAUAUGAUUACGGCUCUGCUGCACCCGUUACUUACCAACCUUCAUCCUACACUCAAUAAGAUGGGAGGAACCUAGCCAGGUGUUAAGAUUCUUAUUUUUAUUUGGUGUCUGAUUUCUGGAUGUGGCCCUCUAAUUUUGGGACCCGCCCCCUUCAUCUCCCUUUCCCGUAUAAAAGUUUUUUUUUGGUCUUAUCUCAUGACUGGAUAUGAUGCCCAUGCCUGUAACGCUGAUUACCUUUAUAUGGAGCUCAAGCUGGAUGUGAUUUCCGUGCUGUGAGUUUUAAAUGGUUUGGCUAUCGAGCAUUGUGAUUACUCUCAUGAUUGGAGUCGCCAUUGGGCGCCUAUGCUUGUUUUUUUGCUAAAUUUUGGCAUGCCUAAUAGACUAAUUUGUUAAAUCACAACAAUUUAGUAAUCAUGCUAAAAAUCCAAUUUAGUAAGAACAUGGCUAUGAUGGGUAACAAUUAGCUAGCCCUUGUAAUUGAUAGACGUCAUUCUUUUGGCCACGAGAGGUCUGAAAAUAACUCACAAACAUUCAGACCAAUGGAGAAGCUUGUAUUACAUGUUCUAUAAAAUGGUUAUUCAUCAUCUAAUUCUUUAUAUAAACAAAUAACUACACAUGAAUAGAACAAUAAUGUUCCCUUAUAGUUUAUAAUAUUGCCACCUUUGUGAGUAUCAUUACCUUUGUGAAUAUCAUUUUGCCUCUACCAUCACAACCUCACAGUUAAUUUUUUUUUUCAUCAUUCAAUUUUUUUUUAAAAUUAGUCUUAUAAUUUGUUUUUUCAAUUCAGCUAUCCCCGAUUUCAUUACCAGAACUACAUGUUUGAUGAAUUUUUUUUGGGUCGCUGUUUUUUUAUUUAAAAUUUUAUUAGUUUCAUCCUUGAACAUUUGGUUCCUUUAGAAUUGAUUAUUGUAAUCAUUCUAAAGACAUGCAUAAAUUGUUUUAAGGCCUUAAAGUGCAUCUUCAUUCAUCUCAGAAACUGAAAAAAUAAAAAAAAAUCAAAUAAAAGAAACCUAAUUAUUUUUCCUGGCCUUGAUCUCUUUUUCUUUGUCCUUCUAGGGUGGUGUAAUCACCAUCAACAAAAUGGCCUUUUAAGGAAGAAGGGGACACUGGACACCAUUAUAGCAGGUUGCAAUGUCAGGAUCUAGAGGAAAGUUUCUCUCCUCGCCUAUCUCUCCUCGGUCCUGUCUCCGAUCUUUACAUACAGGGACUGAAUUUUAAAAAUAGUGUGUUUGUUUUUUAAAUAGGUUUUGUGGUUUUGAUUUUAAAAAAAUAAAUUUAAAAAAAGUGUGGUUAACUAUGAUUAGUUAAAUUUAAAUACGUGUUUAGUAAAAAUUAUAGUUGAAGUUUAUGUGUAACAAAAAUAAUGUAUAAAAUAUUUGGUGGAAGUAUAGUUGCCGUUGUUUUUUAAAGUGUUUUUUACUUGGAAAUGUAUCAAAAUAAUUUUUUUAAAAAAAUUAUUUUUGAUAUCAGCAUUGAUUUGAAAACAAAAAAAAUAUAUCAAUUUGAAGCAAAGAAAAAAAUAAAAAAAUUUAUUUUUUUCAAAAGCGCUUUUGAAACAUAAAAAUAAAUAGGGUUUUAUGAAACUCAAUUAAAAAAUCAUGUAAAAACUACUACAUAAAAAUUACGUUUCAAACUCAACUUUUUAGUAAGUCCCGCAUUACAAACCAAAGUUUAGUUUGUUAAUUACCAAACACUUUGCCAUGUUUGUUUCACCACAAACAAAAAACCAGUGAAGAAAUCCUAAAUAUCUAAAUAAUUUAUACAUGUUUUUUACUACACAUAACCUUUAACUAUAAUUUUUAUUAAACACAUAUUUAAAUUCAAUUAAUUACAAUUGACUCUAUUUAAAAAAAAAAACUUAUUUUUUUAAAUUAAAAUCUCAAAAACUAUCUAAAAAAUAAAGAAACGAGUGAGGAUGUUGAUGAUGCCAAGCAAGUCAGUGUAAAGUGGAAAUCUUGACAAGAUGUUGUAGCCUUCAUAAAAAGUACAAUGCAGUACAAAACGAGAGGUGAAUGUUUGAGAUUGUUAUAAUUUUUAAUUUUAUAUGAUUUUUAAAAGUAUAUUUUAUUUUAAAAAUAUAUUAAAUUAAUAUUUUUUUAAUAAUUUUUUCUAAAACAUAUUUUUCUAAAACAUAUUUUUAAAAAUAAUUUCCAUCACAACACUAAAAACAUAUAAAUAUUUAUCAUAGUAACAAGAAGUGAUAAUAUUUGAUGUAAAAACGGCUGAAUGUAUAUGUCAUGUUUCGAGAAGCGUCCAUGAUUAUAUCAUUAUGAUCCCAAAAAGAAAAAUAUUAAAUAUUAGGCUACAAUUAUUUAUAUACAGUUUUAAAACCUGGACCGGCCCGGCAGGUCAACUCGGGCCGAGACCGGUCCAGGUAGAGGCAAAAAUCUACUUGGAAAUUGACUCGGUAAAACCCGGUCGAUCUGCCGGGUUGACCCCGUGACCUGGACCACCCGGUCAAACCCGGCUGACACAUGAUCUCUCUUUCUCUCUUUCUCUAUAUAUAUAUAUAGACGUUAAACGACGUCGUUUUGGCCUUAAAAGGCCAAAACGAUGAACAAUGACGAAGCAGAAUUGGGGACACAUUGAUUACAGAGCAAACCCAAUUAACGAAAGAUUCCAUCACAGCCAAUGCAACUACAGUCUGGUCUAUAAGCUUUUGGCUUUCUUCUUUGCUCUUGCCAAUUAGGAUUUUUGCGUUUCGAGUGAUCGAUUUGCCCAUCAAAGUUGAAGUGAAGGGAGUGAGUUGGUUACAGAGAGAACUCCAUUCUAGGAUUUUAAGGGUUUUGAGUUGGAGUGAGCGAGCUGGAGGAGUGAGUUUCGGUGAGUGUGAAUCAAAGGGUUUUGUUAGGGCUUUGGUGGAGAAGGGUGGUUUGGUGGUGAAGAAGAGAAUCGGGGAUUUUUUAAUGGCUAUUAAAUGAUUGGAGAGUUUGAUUAAUGAAGGAUUUUUGAGGGAGAGAAGGAAAGGGAUGGGCUGUUUGACAACAACUUAUCCUUUUUAUUUUCAGCUUAUCUUUUAUUUUAGGUUGACUUGUUUUUAGGUUGACUCGUGUCAAUCAAUCUAACUCGUGAUUCGAUCACUUGACUAGAUUGAUAUCCGGAUCGAUUUUUAAAAUUAUGAUUUCUAUAAUUAGGUUACAUUUCGUUAUAGUCAUGUAUUUGAAAAAAUAUUUAGUUAAUAAAUAUAUAUAUAUAUAUAUAUAUAUAUAUAUGUUUUACUAAAAAUUAUUUUAAAAUUUUAAUUAAAAUAUAAUAUAUUUUAUAACUUUUUUUAAAAUGUAUUUUUUAAAAUCACAUAUCUAUCACAAAGAAAGAUCUUUUCAUACAUCCCAACUUUAGGCUAGAAGAUAUUCAGGGCCAUUCCACUACCCUAGCCAGAGUGUCUACGAGGGCCCCGCAGCAGCCCCGUAUGCAUCAACUUAUGGUAUCUCGCACGCUCAAAGCCCUUCUGCAAUCUCUCAACAACCCUACCAUCACUCUCAAAGCCCCAGUGCAAUUCCUCAACAACUCACUCACAGCCAGCGGAGACAUGAGUGCUGCCGGUUUCCGUGCCAGUGGUUCUUAUGGAAGCCAGACCGGUUACGGGGCAUAUGAUUACGGCUCUGCUGCACCCGUUACUUACCAACCUUCAUCCUACACUCAAUAAGAUGGGAGGAACCUAGCCAGGUGUUAAGAUUCUUAUUUUAUUUGGUGUCUGAUUUCUGGAUGUGGCCCUCUAAUUUUGGGACCCGCCCCCUUCAUCUCCCUUUCCCGUAUAAAAGUUUUUUUUUGGUCUUAUCUCAUGACUGGAUAUGAUGCCCAUGCCUGUAACGCUGAUUACCUUUAUAUGGAGCUCAAGCUGGAUGUGAUUUCCGUGCUGUGAGUUUUAAAUGGUUUGGCUAUCGAGCAUUGUGAUUACUCUCAUGAUUGGAGUCGCCAUUGGGCGCCUAUGCUUGUUUUUUUGCUAAAUUUUGGCAUGCCUAAUAGACUAAUUUGUUAAAUCACAACAAUUUAGUAAUCAUGCUAAAAAUCCAAUUUAGUAAGAACAUGGCUAUGAUGGGUAACAAUUAGCUAGCCCUUGUAAUUGAUAGACGUCAUUCUUUUGGCCACGAGAGGUCUGAAAAUAACUCACAAACAUUCAGACCAAUGGAGAAGCUUGUAUUACAUGUUCUAUAAAAUGGUUAUUCAUCAUCUAAUUCUUUAUAUAAACAAAUAACUACACAUGAAUAGAACAAUAAUGUUCCCUUAUAGUUUAUAAUAUUGCCACCUUUGUGAGUAUCAUUACCUUUGUGAAUAUCAUUUUGCCUCUACCAUCACAACCUCACAGUUAAUUUUUUUUUUCAUCAUUCAAUUUUUUUUUAAAAUUAGUCUUUAUAAUUUUGUUUUUCAAUUCAGCUAUCCCGAUUUCAUUACCAGAACUACAUGUUUGAUGAAUUUUUUUUUGGGUCGCUGUUUUUUUUAUUUAAAAUUUUAUUAGUUUCAUCCUUGAACAUUUGGUUCCUUUAGAAUUGAUUAUUGUAAUCAUUCUAAAGACAUGCAUAAAUUGUUUUAAGGCCUUAAAGUGCAUCUUCAUUCAUCUCAGAAACUGAAAAAAUAAAAAAAAAUCAAAUAAAAGAAACCUAAUUAUUUUUCCUGGCCUUGAUCUCUUUUUCUUUGUCCUUCUAGGGUGGUGUAAUCACCAUCAACAAAAUGGCCUUUUAAGGAAGAAGGGGACACUGGACACCAUUAUAGCAGGUUGCAAUGUCAGGAUCUAGAGGAAAGUUUCUCUCCUCGCCUAUCUCUCCUCGGUCCUGUCUCCGAUCUUUACAUACAGGGACUGAAUUUUAAAAAUAGUGUGUUUGUUUUUUAAAUAGGUUUUGUGGUUUUGAUUUAAAAAAAUAAGUUUAGAAAAAGGUGUGGUUAACUAUGAUUAGUUAAAUUUAAAUACAUGUUUAGUAAAAAUUAUAGUUGAAGUUUAUGUGUAACAAAAAUAAUAUAUAAAAUAUUUGGUGGAAGUGUUGGUUGUUUGUUUUUUACUUGGAAAUACAUCAAAAUAAUUUUUUUUUAAUUAUUUUUUAUAUCAGCAUUGAUUUGAAAACAAAAAAUAUAUCAAUUUGAAGCAAGGAAAAAAAUAAAAAAAUUUAUUUUUUUCAAAAGCGUUUUGAAACGUAAAAAUAAAUAGGGUUUUAUGAACUCAAUUAAAAAAUCAUGUAAAAAUACUACAUAAAAAUUGCGUUUCAAACUCAAUUUUUUAUAAGUCCCGCAUUACAAACCAAGUUUGGUUUGUUAAUUACCAAACACUUUGCCAUGUUUGUUUCACCGCAAACAAAAAACCAGUGAAAAAAUCUAAAUAUCUAAAUAAUUUAUACAUGUUUUUUACUACACAUAAAAUUUAACUAUAAUUUUUAUUAAAUACAUAUUUAAAUUCAAUUAAUUACAAUUGACUCUAUUUAAAAAAAACUUAUUUUUUUAAAUUAAAAUCUCAAAAACUAUCUAAAAAAUAAAGAAACGAGUGAGGAUGUUGAUGAUGCCAAGCAAGUCAGUGUAAAGUGGAAAUCUUGACAAGAUGUUGUAGUCUUCAUAAAAAGUACAAUGCAGUACAAAACGAGAGGUGAAUGUUUGAGAUUGUUAUAAUUUUUAAUUUUAUAUGAUUUUUAAAAGUAUAUUUUAUUUUAAAAAUAUAUUAAAUUAAUAUUUUUUUAAUAAUUUUUUAUAAAACAUAUUUUUAAAAAUAAUUUCCAUCACAACACUAAAAACAUAUAAAUAUUUAUCAUAGUAACAAGAAGUGAUAAUAUUUGAUGUAAAAACGGCUGAAUGUAUAUGUCAUGUUUCGAGAAGCGUCCAUGAUUAUAUCAUUAUGAUCCCAAAAAGAAAAAUAUUAAAUAUUAGGCUACAAUAUUUAUCAUAAUUUUAAAACUCGGACCGGCCCGCAGGUCGACUCGGGUCUGGAACCGGUCCAAGUGGAGGCAAAAAUCCACUUGGAAAUUGACUCGGUGAAACCUGGUCGAUCUGCGGGUCGACCCGUGACCCGGAUCACCCGGUCAAACCCGGCUGACACUUGACUCUCUCUCUUAUAUAUAUAUAUAUAUAUAGACGUUAAAAGACCGUUUUGGCCUUUUAAAAGGCCAAAACGAUUAACAAUGACGAAGCAGAAUUGGGACACAUUGAUUACAGAGCAAACCCAAAUAACGAAAGAUUCCAUCACAGCCAAUGCAACUACAGUCUGGUCUAUAAGCUUUUGGCUUUCUUCUUUGCUCUUGCCAAUUAGGAUUUUUGCGUUUCGAGUGAUCGAUUUGCCCAUCAAAGUUGAAGUGAAGGGAGUGAGUUGGUUACAGAGAGAACUCCAUUCUAGGAUUUUAAGGGUUUUGAGUUGGAGUGAGCGAGCUGGAGGAGUGAGUUUCGGUGAGUGUGAAUCAAAGGGUUUUGUUAGGGCUUUGGUGGAGAAGGGUGGUUUGGUGGUGAAGAAGAGAAUCGGGGAUUUUUUAAUGGAUAAAUGAUUGGAGAGUUUCAUUAAUGAAGGAUUUUUGAGGGAGAGAAGGAAAGGGAUGGCUGUUUGGACUUAUCCUUAUUUCAGCUUAUUUUUUUUUUAGAGUUUAUGCCGUGUCAAUCAUCUGACUCGUGAUCCGAUCACUUGACUAGAUUGAUAUCCGGAUCGGGUUUCAAAACUAUGAUUUCUAUAAUUAGGUUACAUUUCGUUAUAGUCAUGUAUUUGAAAAAUAUUUAGUAUUAUAUAUAUAUAUAUAUAUAUAUAUAUAUGUUUUACUAAAAAUUAUUUUAAAAUUUUAAUUAAAAUAUAAUAUAUUUUAUAACUUUUUUUAAAAUGUAUUUUUUAAAAUCACAUAUCUAUCACAAAGAAAGAUCUUUUCAUACAUCCCAACUUUAGGCUAGAAGAUAUUCAGGGCCAUUCCACUACCCUAGCCAGAGUGUCUACGAGGGCCCCGCAGCAGCCCCGUAUGCAUCAACUUAUGGUAUCUCGCACGCUCAAAGCCCUUCUGCAAUCUCUCAACAACCCUACCAUCACUCUCAAAGCCCCAGUGCAAUUCCUCAACAACUCUACUCACAGCCAGCGGAGAACAUGAGUGCUGCCGGUUUCCGUGCCAGUGGUUCUUAUGGAAGCCAGACCGGUUACGGGGCAUAUGAUUACGGCUCUGCUGCACCCGUUACUUACCAACCUUCAUCCUACACUCAAUAAGAUGGGAGAAACCUAGCCAGAUGUUAAGAUGAAGACAAAGAUCUGGUGCUCGAUUGAUGUUCAAUUUUAUCAAAUUAUGUUUAAAUUAAGUUGAUUUAAAGCAAUUAGGCCUUAAGGAAUCAAAUUUGAUUAUGAAACAAAUAUGGGAGACUGAAAUUAAUGGGUAUAGUUAAAAAGACACAGUAGCUGUGGCAGCGUAUGCAAUCUUUUCUAGCGGCCAACUCACCCUUCCAUGGUAGCGAUCGAUGCAUCUUAGAAUUCUUUUUCUGCAAUGGUAACACAUGUGUCGCCUAAUUUUUGGUUAUUUUUAUUUUAAUUAUUUUAUUUACCGAAAAGGAUAAAAUGAUGAUAAAAAAAAUAAUAAUGAUGAAAAACAAGUAAAAUAAAGAAUAAAUUAAAAUUUAGGUUAAGGACAACAUGAUGGAAAGUUUUGGGGUUUAAUUAAACUUUGGAAUUAAUCUAAUUAAUCCAAUCAAGGGCUUAAUUGGAGAAUUGAUAAGUUUUAAGACUUAAUUGAGCUUGAAAUUAAUUUAAUUAAUCCAAUCAAUGUUUUAAUUGGAGAAUUGAUAAGUUUUUGGACUUAAUUGAGCUUGGAAUUAAUUUAAUGAAUGAAAUCAAGGACGUAAUUGAAGAAAUAUCAAAGUUUGGGGUUAAUUGGGGUACAAUUUGCAAGAAAUGAAAACGCAAGGACCAAUGUGUAAAUUGCAAUGAGAUGCAGGGGUUCAAUUAAAAUUUACCCAACGACUGGACUGCUAAAAUUCAAAAUGACAAGGAUCAAAAUGCAAUUAGCCAUGUCCAUCAACACUAUUCAUCUUUUCCUUCACUCGCCCGAACAAAAACGGAUGCAUCGCCAUUACUCCUGCAAUAACAGUCAAUUUAUUACCUGGUAACGGUGGCAUUCUGUGGCUAUAAAGCCAGAGAGAACAAAGGGGCUAGAGAAGGGGGAACCGAAAAGCCACUGGUGAUCAUAGAACCGAAAAGCCACUGGUGAUCAUAGAACCGUGAGCAGCAGUGGAAGAUCUUCAUCCCCAGCAGCUUCCUCCAUUUCAAGCAGCUCCUCGCCACGGUUAGUCUCCACCCCAACACCAGAUACUCCAAGAUCAGCCACCGUGGGUAGUGUUGCCACCAAUCACCUCACACAGCAUCGUGAACUCCAACAGCAAGGCAACUGUCAGCAGCCUUGCAACAACCAGCAUCUCCCUUCUGCACCGUGAGCUUCAAUCACUCCACCAGCAUCACUAGUUCCAUCGUGACUAGCAUCACCAGCAGCUUAUCUCAGCAAAUCAGUAGCUCAUCACGGUGGCGACUGAUUUUUGAAGAGAGGCUGAAGCGUUCCUCAGCAACUCUUCUAGACAGGGAGGAGAAGAACCCCCAUCUCUUUUGUUCAGACCUCCAUCACCAUCAACCAUCGCCUUUCAUCUUCCAACAAAUAGCGUAAGCAGCAGCACAGGAAGGGAGGACUAGAGAAGACGCAGAACAACAGAAACAGAGGGGGAAACAGUAGCAGUCGGGCAAGCCUCCGUCACCAUCGACAUCGUCUUCGCCUUCACCUCGCAGCUGCGCCACCCCAGCAGCUCUUCCUCACCGUGACAUCCAGCAGUCUUCCCUUGAAGCAGCCGUCUCCCUCAGCCUUGCCAGGUAAGUUCUUCAGCUUUCCUUCUUUUGGUAAAUUAAUUACCUGUUACUGUUGCAUGCAUGCGUGAGUGAUUCACGCAUGCAUGCAACAGUGGCAGCCGGGUCACUGGUUUGGACCAGUGACCCGAACUUUUUUUUUUUUUUUUACCAUGCAACAUCAAUAAACAGAAAAAUAAAAAAAAUAGAAAAAAUAAAAAAUGUGUAUGCAUGAAUAAAAAUAAUGUAAAUUUAUUGGUUUAUUCACUGAAACCAGAGUCAGGAAUAAAAAUACCGGUUUAAAUAUAUAUUAUUUUUAUUCGUUGUAUUUUUAUUUUAUUUAGCUAGAAAAAUAACAAAUAUGUGCAUGAAUAAAAAUAAAUUUAUUUUUAUUUAUUUAUUCACUGGCACUAAAAUAGGGAAUAAAAAAAUAUUGAUUUUUUUUUUCAUAGCUAUGAAUUUUUACCAACGCCAGAGUUGGAAUUAUUCGAGCUCGAAUAUUCACUGGCGUCAGAGUCAGGAAUAUUAUAAAACAAAUCAUCAUAGCAUAAACUAAUAAAUAUUUAGCAAUUUAAGACAUAAACCAGCAAUGCAGUCUGUCUUAGGCAGAACGUUUAAAGGGUGAUAAUAUCUUCCCUUUUAAGUAACUAAUCCCGAGCCAUAGAAUCUCUGUUGACCAGUUAGGGUUCCUAGUAACCAUAAUACUAGGUGACGACUCCUUAAACAAGAUAUUUUCUUUAAAAGAACCGGAUGCCAGAAAUCUGUUCUUUUUCCAUAAUUCAAGAGAAUUAUUUUGAGGGCCGAUGCGAUGUCGGGUGCGACAACAUGUAUUCUUAUUCUUAGUGUUGUGUUGUUGGUGUUAUUUAUUUUAUUUUUUUCCAUAUUUUCCCUCUUUUCUCUUUAAAAUUCAUGAUAGCCAUUUCAAAGUUCAUAGUUGUCUCCUUAUUUUAGUAUUAUUUCAAAUGCAAUCCUUUUUUUAUUACUAAGUUUUUGUUCUAGAUCUUUUUCUAAAAUGUAAAAUUAUUUUCAAUUUUAUCAUUCAAUAAAAAAUUAUAAGUUGUCCUUUCAAUUCAUUUUUAAAAUUUGGUCCAUAUUUUUUUAAUUCCUAUUUUUAGUUUUUGAUCCUAUAGUGAAAUUAAAUUUUCCUUCCAUUUUCAUCAUCUAAUUUGUUUUUAUUUCUAAUUCUAUUCUUAUUCUUUUGGUUUUUUUUUAGAGCCUUUUGUAAAAUUAAAUUUUUUAAAUUAAUUUUUCAGCAUGAGGUUAUUUAAGAAUUGGAUUCCAUGUGUUUUUAUUGAUGGGAUGAUUCAUGACAUGGACCAAGUCAUAUAUUUAAAAAAUUGACCCGGGUUAACAUUGUUCUUUUAUUUAUUGAGUUUUAUUUUUUUUAUACACGUUUUAUUUUUUAUUUUCAUCCUUUAAUUUUUUUUUAAUUGAGCUUUAUGAUUUUUUUUUUAAUUUUCUUUCAAUCAUGUUAUCCUUAUUCAUCUCAGAAACUGAAAAAAAAAAAAAUAAAUGAAACCUAAUUAUUUUUCGUGGCCUUGAUCUCUUUUUCUUUGUCUUUCUAGGGUGCUGUAAUCACCAUCAACAAAGUGGCCUUUUAAGGAAGAAGUGGCUCAAAUUGUUUCUAUAGUUGGGUUACAUUUUAAUAUAGUCAUGUAUUUGAAAAAGUAUUUAGUUAAUUAAUAUUUAUUACAUAUAUAUAUAUAUACACACACAUUACUAAAAAUUAUUUUAAAAUUUUAAUUAAAAUAUAAUAUAAUUUAUAAAUCCCAACUUUCGCAAGAAUAGUAAUCAUGAGUCCUGACAUGUCCUCUUCCUUGUUGAAUUCUACGGGCUUCGAAUGUCAUGUUCAUGCCGAUUUACUAGGGUAUUUCUUUAUGCAUGCAUGCAAAAUAAUAUAAUAAUUAAUUAUUAGUUGAUAGAGGCUGAUAAAUAAAUAAAAAUAUAUAGUUUAUUGAGUUUCCAAAACAAAAUAAUCGCAUCAUGCAUGUGGUCUUCAACCAAAUCUACUACUGUUUGCAAAAAUAGUGUUCAUGUAGAUUAAUAAGGCCAUGUUUGUUUCUCGGAAAGUAGUUUUUAGAAAAUUAUUUUCCAAACUUUCUUGUGUUUGUUUGUCAUUAGAAAAGUUGGUCAACGGAAAACACUUUCCAGUAAAAAAAAAAUUUUAACUUGGUUUUCAGGAAAGUAUUUUCCUUUUAGAUGUGCUUGUUUUCUGGAAAGUGGUUUCCGAGAAAUUACUUUCCAAACUUUCUUGUGUUUGUUUGCCAGUAGAAAAGUUGGUCAAUGAAAAAUACUUUCCAGUAAAAGGAAAAUUUGGCUUGGUUUUCAGAAAAGUGUUUUCCUGAAAAAUUUAAGGGGAAAACACUUUCCGGAAGUUGUGAAAAAUUUAGAAAUGUCAUUAUUUUCUGAUUAUAUCAAAUUUGAUCCUCAAACUUUUGAUUGCUAUAUAUAUUUUGUUUUGAAUAUUUAUUUUUCAAUUUCAUCUCUUAAAAUGUUAUUUUUAUAUUAGCGUUGGUCCUUAUUUUUAUAGUUGCUAUUUGCUUUUUCCUUAUUAUUUUUUUAUUGAAAUUUUUUAUUUAUCAAAUUUGAUCCUCAUUCUUUUUAUUGUUACUUAUUUUAUUUGAAAUAAUUUAUGAAAUGUUGAUUAUUAUUAUUUUAAUUUCUUCAUUUUUUUUUUUUAGAUUUGAUCCCUAUUAUUUUGAUUAUUAUUUAUUUUAUUUGAGAUAAUUUAUGAAAUUAUAUUUUUUUUUUCAAUUUCAUUCUCAUUCAACUUUUUAAUUUGUAAGAUUUGUUCCUCAUUAUUUUAAUAAACUUGAGAAAAAUAAAAUAUUAAUAAGUUAUUUUCUAGCUCAUUUUCCAUGACAUAACCAAACACUGGAAAGUGUUUUCCAACUCAUUUUCCAUUACACUACCAAACAUCGGAAAAUACUUUAUCGGAAUUCACUUUCUCCGGAAUUCACUUUUCAAAAGGAAAACUUUCCAGCAAACAAACGGAGCCUAAGUACUAUUUAUUGAAACAAAGUAAUGAUAUUUUGCUUUUCUUGUAAAAGAAUUUGAACAAGUUAUUUAAGAUAGUUUCACAAGUUUCAUUUGUUAUUAUCGGGUCAAAUUAAUAAGUGUUUUUGCAUUUUAAAAUUAUAGUGAAAUAAUUAAAAUAUUCUUAUAUGUAAAAAAUUAUAAAUUGAUGUCCAAGAACUUUUUAGUAUUUUCACAUUAGUUUUUUCGUUAUUAUUAGGUUAGUUGAAGGAAAAUUUGGUAUUUUAAUAAAUAUAAAAUAUUAUUUAAAAACAAAAAACGGCUAGCCUAUGUAAUGCUUGUGCUAGCGUAUGGGUGGUGCUAGCUCCAUUCGGGUGGCAUCUCUCGACGACCGAACACUAGCUUUUGCCAUGUUAUUAAUUGAAAGCAUUGCAAUAUAAUCUUCCUUUAAGAACGGCACGUUGUGUUAUUGGGGUGGUUAUGUGAUGUUGGUGACCUUUUUUUCUUCUCAUCCCACUUUAGUCUUUCCUCCUUUUAAAAAUCAUGUUGGUCAUGUGAAAUUUUAAAGUUGUCCUUUAAUUUAUUGAGAUGUCAAAUUCAUUAUUAUUUUUUUUGAUAUUUUUUUUUUUGUUCUUGGUUAUUUUGUGAAAUUUUUAGUUAUUUUUAAUUUUAUCCUUCAAUCUCAAUUUGUGAUACAUUAUAUUUUUUUCAAUUUAGUCCUUAUUCUUUUGAUAUUUUUAUUUUUUGAGUCCUUUUAUAAAAUUGAAUUUUCUUUUCAAUUUCAUCCUUCAAUUAAAAAUAAAAUUUAUUUUUUAUUUUAAUUUUAAUUUGCAUUCCUUCAAGUACCCUUUUUUUUAAUCUCUCUGUAUAAUUGAUUUUUCUUUUUUUCAUUUUUAAAUUUUAUCAAAAACGCACGCGAUUCGUUGUUGUCAAACUAUCUAGUGCUAAGAAUUCGAAAGUCAAGUACCCUGCAAUAUGAAAGAACUCUGAAAACACACACCAGAGACAUGCAUGUUCUGCUUUAUAUAUAACCAAAGUCGUUACAAGAAAGAAGAGAAAGUGCUUAUCUAUUUGUUACAAGAGAUACAAAUUACAUGAGAUUUAAAUACAAGAUAAAAUGCCCUCCCGUUUGCAAGCUAUCCAGUUUGAACUGGAUGUGAUCCUAUUCUCUACCCAUAAAAAUAAUACUGAAUUUAAAGGGAUUUGCAGUCAGGACAGACAAUAAUGAUUUUCCAGCUGCAAGCAUCAAUCUAUAGGAAAAACCUAAUUGAUAAUAAUAAAAAAAGGCUUGGAAUGUGAUGAUGGUUAGGAAAAAUCCAGUACGUUCGUGCACCGUGAUUGUCAGCAUGAAUGUAAAUGCUAAACCCAUGCAGAAAAGGGAGUAGAAAUUAAAAUAUGUCGCCAUCUCCAUGCAUAUUGUUACAUAAUUGGUACCACCUAAUGAUAUCUGACAAAGGAUUAUAGCGGCGAUGAGGGAGAGAUUCAUAGCUAGCAUGUCGAAAAAAACAUAAGCUCUCAUCAGAUUUUUUGAACUACCACUGCUAAGAUCACGACCUGAUCCAGGCACAGUGAUAGCACCAGCGAAGGUUACUCCAACUACCAGUACUGCCACCACGAGAAGAUUCCCUACCCCUCUGUUCAGUUGCUCCGUCGUUAACGUCGUUCUUGGUAAAUCAAAGAUAGGACUGAUGCAAGGCUCAGGCAUAUCAUCUGCCUCCUCCAAAACUUUAAAUACCUUACGCUGAACAACAAAGUGUUUAUUAGAAAAUAUAUGGUAAACAAAUUAAUUAUAUAAAGCAUCAUGACAAUGCUAGCUUAAUGUCCCAUAAUAACGAAGAAGGAAUUCAUCGCUAUAUAUUUAGUAGAUCAGCGAGGCAUUCCAUAUUUUUGAGCAAGUAAAGAACUUUAUUUCCACUUUGGAUUAAUCAAAUUUAAGGUAAUUGAAAGAAAUCUAUCAUUCCCUUUUCUAUAAAGUUGCAACAUGGACAGAAUGUGGAUGUGAAAGUUUUUGCUAUACUAGAAUGUAUUUACUUCAAUCACCUGAUUAGCUUCUUACGUGGACCAAAGCAACUAGAAUAUAAUUUGACUUGGAUGCGAAUGGUUCUUUAAAUGGCUAACCAAAACCCUCUGGUAUUGAUGAAUAUAACAGAAUUAAAUGUGACUGAGGUUUUGACAAUUAAAAAAUCUUUUUAAAUGAGUAUUGAUUGUUCCUAUGCAAUUACUAGAAGCUGGAUUGUGGAGUAUAAUGCCAUUACUAGAAGCUUAUUGGCUAUAAGAGAUAAUUAAUGAAGUUAUCUUUAUUGGCAUAUGGAAAAAACUAGAGAGUAUUUAUGC